UAUUGAGGGAGAGUUCCUUUGGAAACACAAAUCUUGAGACAGAUUUGUGAUCCAAAGUUCAAAUCGAUGAGUAGAUAGAGCAAAGAUCAAAGCUAUUGGUUGGUCCAAAUACUAAAACAGGAUCAACUAACAUACCAAUAUGGAAGAAUUGGUGUUGGAAGAAAAAUCAGUAAUGAAUCAAAGCUGUUUGGGUUGUUGCUGAAGAAUCAGAAGACCAGAAAGAAGAGAAGGAAGAAACAAAAUGAUGUAUGCACUGAUCUGUAUUAUUGGUAUGAGCGGAAUCGGUAAAGUUAAUUGUAUUAAUGGGAAAGCUAUUGUUGAGCGAUUUGUAAGAUUCAAUCGAUGAAGCUUAGCAGCCAUUGAUUGAUUCAUGUGUGAAAAUCUCCUUUUCAUUGAAGCCAUCUGUUAGUGCGUCUGAUCCAAUGAAAGGAUCCAGAAGAAACUCCUCUGUAUGCGAACCUGUUCUUGUGUGCAUAUGUUGACACACGUUGAAGGAUGCAAACCCAUGUUAUUUCUAUCAGGGGUGAAUGGUUCACGAACACCGGAAAUUUUUGUGCUCUUUGAUACGGAAGAAAAAGCUCUCCCUGCAGCAUUGACAGUGUUUACAAAAUGUCACAUUUUUUUGUUUGUAAGUUAUUGAAAAAUUCUGGUUGAUGUUGUGAAACACUUGCAAGUUAUGUUUCGUGUAUCCAUUUUAUGAAAUUACAGUUGCUAGCAAGCUAAAUUGGCAGUGGGCUACUUCUGUAAUAGGAAUUCUGAGUGUCAAGUUUAUAUACAGAACAAGUUGGAGAAAAUGGUUGGAUAUUUUGUUUAAGUACCUGUUAA
Papaver somniferum (opium poppy) is the source of this 825-nucleotide long non-coding RNA. RefSeq lists it as uncharacterized. The transcript has 3 exons. NCBI's taxonomy places the organism in Eukaryota, Viridiplantae, Streptophyta, Magnoliopsida, Ranunculales, Papaveraceae. The record is from RefSeq and is a predicted model, not a curated record.